This is a long non-coding RNA of Passer domesticus (house sparrow), 412 nucleotides long. RefSeq lists it as uncharacterized. Lineage: Eukaryota; Metazoa; Chordata; Aves; Passeriformes; Passeridae. The transcript is spliced from 2 exons. The record is from RefSeq and is a predicted model, not a curated record.
AUUCAGCUGUCAAUCACAUUACCAUACAGCUUUACCUACACGGAGACCAUAUGACUGGCUUAUAUUUAUCCCAUAUUCAUUGUUUCAGAUUGACUGUUUGCAGAUGAAUUUUGCAAAGAGAGAAACAACAGAUGCAACAGAGAAAUGGAAGCUGUCAAGGCAUUUCUGGUGCCUGAAAGUGACAAUCAUUCCAGCAAGUCCUCAUUUUAAACCUCUGUGGUGGCAGGCAGAGAAAUUCUCUCACACAUGCAUCUGAAACAUUCAAAGAUCUCUGGCUCAACCACAGAAGCCUGAGUUCCCAGCUUCAGAAAAAGAAGAGCCAUUCCACUGCUGCUCUCCCUUUUUCCCCUCCCUGUCUUGCAAGUGUUGUUAUGCCCUUGUCCUGACUGCAUGCCCUGAAUACCAAUAUCAG